CUGUCACUGGUCCCUGGAAGUAACAGACUAAUAACAGGAAGUCUUCCAUGACCCCUGUUCUAUUCUUUUUGUAUGAAGGGAAAGAAACCCACUAAAAUCAGAUCAUGGCCAAAAGGAGGGGCAUUCUUUUGAGAAUACAACAACAGAGUCCUCUUCUGACUCAUGUUGCACAGUGUCCAGCGUGGUCUCUGUCAGCUGCUCUUUCUACAUUGUGACUUUCGGCUCUGUCUGAUUGCAUAAUUCUCAAGCGACAGCAAACUUUAAAGCUCAAGCCAGAGAAAACCCCGGUCACAGCAGAGUGAAUGCAUGGGCUGGAUUUCUGUGAGGCAUCUGAUCAAAUCAUUUGGGACCACAAGAGCAGGGCCAUGUCCCAGGAAUAAACCUCCAGUUUUCUGCUGACAAAGGGGAAGAGAUAGUCACCAGCUGCAUGGAACUGGGGAGAAGUUCUGGCCCUCUAACUGCUUCUUAAACAGACUUUGAACCAAUUUGCCUGUUUUUUAGUCCUACCCUCACAGCCUCUAACAGAAGUAUCUGGUGUAGCCCAUUUUGCAUAUGUCUGGUUACAUCUUGGUUUUCUUCUCUUUUGGUUUAGGGUUAGGCUUUCUUUGGUCUGUUAAAGCAUUUAUCAAGUGUCCCCCUGUUUUUCCAUCCACCAUUGUGUUAUUCUCGUCAUGUCUUGCCAAUUCUCUUUGUCCCCGAGGAUUUAUGCCUUUAAAAAAGGCAUUCUUUUGUCUUAGUAUGGUCUGGGGAGAAAGUGAAAGCAAAUGUACCUGUUUGAUCCAUCAUCUUUUUCCAGACGUCCCUGUUUGCAUGAUUUUCUUUUUUUAAUGUUUAAAAAUCACUUUUAUUGAGGUACAUUUGAUACAUAGUAAAAUUCUUUGAUUUUAGGUCUAUGAUUCAAUGAGUUUUGACAGAUAUAUGCAGUCAUAUAACCACCAAUAUCAUAAUGUAGAGCAUUUCUAUCACUGCAAAAAGUGCCCUUGUGCCCAUUUAUAGUCAAUUUCCUCUGCUCACCCGAUCCUAGGAGACACAAGCCUGCUUUCUGUCACUACAGUUGUGUCCUUCUAGAAUUUCACAUAAAGUUGUUUAUAAUAUUCCCUUAUCCUCCUAAUGUUUGUAGAAUCUGUAGUGUUUGUGCCACCUGUUUCACAAUAUUAGGAAUUUCUUUCUUUCCCAAUAAGUCUAAUUAGAGGCUUAUCAAUUUUAUUAAGAUUUGUAAAGAAAUAUCUUUUGGUGUCAUUGAGUUUCUCCAUUUCUUUCUGGUUUUGAUUUCAUUAAUUUCUAUCCUUCACUAUGUUUGUUUCUUUUAUAUAAAAGAUAACAGUCCUUAGCUGCCCAUUAUUAAUAUGAUGAAAAGACAUUUUUAAUAUGUUUUGUCUAAUUUUAUUUUAUUGGUAUAUAGUAUUCCUUUGAUUGGCAAUUCUAUUAUUAGUUAGGGCAUUGCUUUGAAUGUUUUCUUGGCCAUAUACUUUUCUAUUUCUGGUA
Kogia breviceps (pygmy sperm whale) is the source of this 1485-nucleotide non-coding RNA. NCBI's taxonomy places the organism in Eukaryota, Metazoa, Chordata, Mammalia, Artiodactyla, Physeteridae. The record is from RefSeq and is a predicted model, not a curated record.